UACGUAGGUGGCAAGCGUUGUCCGGAUUUACUGGGUGUAAAGGGCGUGUAGGCGGAGCUGCAAGUCAGAUGUGAAAUCCCGGGGCUCAACCCCGGAACUGCAUUUGAAACUGUAGCCCUUGAGUAUCGGAGAGGCAGGCGGAAUUCCUAGUGUAGCGGUGAAAUGCGUAGAUAUUAGGAGGAACACCAGUGGCGAAGGCGACUUUCUGGACGAUAACUGACGUUGAGGCACGAAAGUGUGGGGAGCAAACAGG
Molecule: ribosomal RNA, 253 nt
Filed under: uncultured bacterium
Lineage: Bacteria
Description: partial 16S ribosomal RNA
Rfam family: Bacterial small subunit ribosomal RNA
Source: RNAcentral